AAUAUAAAUAAUAAAAGAAAUAAAACACAUAAACCACACACAAACCGCCAUUCACAUACACACACCGUGACACAUGCACACACACAACCCUCCGCCGGCGACACCGGCCUCUGCCGACCACCGCCCUCCACCGAACGUGGAGGCCCUUCCUUGUCUUCCUCUGUGUCUCAACACUUCUCUCCCCCUACACACGCACACAUACAUUCAUCUCUGUAUAGCGUUGUCCCGCUGAUUCUGCCUCCGCCGUCGCUGGACUUUGGAUCUCUUGGAUAGUCUUGUCUAUUCUCUACAAGCUUCUGGAUGAAAUAAUGGAGCAUAUCUGCAAAGUUGUGGGCAAUGUCGUGAAAAUUUGAGGUAGUACUAUUGCAUUAUUCUUUUCCGAGUGACAAUCUGCCACAAUCAGGAACCCUGUAUGAGAUUAAAAAGAAUCAACGCCUUCACAACUACUUAUCAAUUUACGGUGGUUUCCUUCAUAUUUACCAUUUUGCUCGUGAUAAUAAAAUUUAUGUUUUGUUUGAUACUGUUUAAAUUUUGGAAAUGUUGUAUACACACUAUUUACAUCUACAAAAUUAGCGAAUUAGUGUUCAUGAGCAGAUUUAGUUGAAGGAUUAGUCGAUAAAGAGAUGGCAGGUCGUUACGAUCAGAAUCCAUUUGCUGUAAGUGUUUCCUCUUCUUCUGGCAUCAAUUGUUCAAUGUUUGGUGGGAUUAGCAUUUUUUGCUUUUAAUUAUUUGUGAAUGUAGUUAGUUUUGUGUACUCUUGAGAUGAAGAAUUUGAAUUUAAGAUAGGGUUUUUGAGGAUGAUCAGACUUAGGCUGACUAUGUGGCCUGAUCUAGUAAUUCAAGAGCUCUUGCUCAAAAAAUAUACGAAUUCGAGAGCUAAAUUUGAGAGGUUUCUAAUAGUACCUUCGGAUUGUAGUUUGAGAAAAAAAAAUGAAUGAUAAACAUACUCUAUUUGCAUUUGGAGUAAUUCUUGUUAUGAAUGAUUGUGGAUUUGGGAAAUUUUGUAUCUUUUGUGACUCCAUUUAUGAAUAAUUUUCUUUAUAUGCUUCAAUUUGAGAACCAAGUAGUCUAUUGUGGUUAUUUUAGAUGAUAUUGUCUAUGGAAGAGAGUCAUGUUUUUUUACUUUGUAGCAAAUAGCAAAAUUUACUUUAUAAUCAAAGGUUUAUUGGUGGUUUCCUUUUCUCUUAAUUUGCCUCUCUUUGGAUGAACUAGCAGAAUCUUUUCUUUGGGGAUCUAUAUCAUUUGUGAGAUAUGAAAGUGAAGAUCUAUGUUGGGAGAACAUGCAGAAUCUGAGUAAUGAAAGGUAUGCAUUUAAAAGUUAUAUUCGCAUAUACCCAAUUACAUAUACAAAUUGCUAUGAGUACUUACUUGGAAACUGUUGCCACUCUCAAGGAAACAAAUAUAAGAUCGAUUGGUAUUGUGUUUGAAUCGAAUGCUAUUGUUGAAGAGGUUUGUUACUGCUAGCAUAAUUUACAUGGUGUUGUAUUUAAAUUGUUUUGCUAUUGCUAUAUGGGGCAUGUUCUUGCAAAGGUGCUAACAGGAAAAGAGAAGACCAACGGAGGAAACACGGUGAUGAGGCUGCGAGGGAUGGUAUAGCUGAAAAAGAGAAUGCGAGGGAUGGUAUAGCUGGAAAAGAGAAGGCCGACGAAGGAAACACAGUGAUUAGGAUUAAUAAUUUGUAGUACAGUAUUGUUUUUACAGAAGUAAAAGAUGACCAACACUUGUUUAGUUUGUGUGUUUAAACACAUUAGAUUUGGUGUAAUAUGAUUUGAUACUUUGGAUAUUAUCAAAAUUUUCCAUAUUAUUUGAAUGACUUAGUUUAUUAAA
Long non-coding RNA from Salvia splendens (bonfire salvia), 1827 nucleotides. RefSeq lists it as uncharacterized. NCBI's taxonomy places the organism in Eukaryota, Viridiplantae, Streptophyta, Magnoliopsida, Lamiales, Lamiaceae. The record is from RefSeq and is a predicted model, not a curated record. The transcript has 2 exons.